Octodon degus (degu) is the source of this 479-nucleotide long non-coding RNA. RefSeq lists it as uncharacterized. The transcript is spliced from 3 exons. The record is from RefSeq and is a predicted model, not a curated record. Lineage: Eukaryota; Metazoa; Chordata; Mammalia; Rodentia; Octodontidae.
AUAACUUCUCGUACAACGACCAAACGGACAUUUCCAAACUCUCUCAUUAUCCUAGCAUGAGGAGAUGCUCACUGCCCUUGACUCCAGAAUCCAGAGAUGGAGAUAUGGCCUGAUCCACCUGAGGUUAUAUUUGAAUAAUUAAAUGCAGUGUUAGAGUGGAGUAAGACAUUAUCAAUGCCCACUACUAUCUGGGUCUGCUACUUUGUGAUACAACUCUUCAGGUUCUUGUGUCAGCCAGGUCUCAAGACAGGAAAGUGACACACUAGAGCCUUCAAGGCUGGUGCUUUAGGCCAGGCCUGUCAUGUCUGCAGUUCACUCUACGGAUGAUAGUUUUGCUGCUGAUAUCAUAAGUUAUGGAGUUUCUGUCAGUGAGGGUCCUCUUGCAGUGACUAACUGAAUUCAGGACCCAACUCUCCUAGCCACUGCUGAACACAACAUGGGAAUUAGAACUCAGGACCUUGAGCUUGCCAAGCAGGUGC